AACACAACAAGCUAUAAUAUUUUAGUUAAGUAAGACCCUUCAUUUCAAUAUAGUCAAAAUCGAAUAUAAUUGCCCUUGUGUUAGCACAACAAAGCAGUAUAUCCAAAAUUACCGUAAGCAUCUUUUAUGCACCAGGAUUAUGUUAUAUCAAUCCUUAUGACAAGCCUUAUGGUAACACAACAAACUAGCCAUAGUUCAUGAUGUAACAUUAACCUAGCAUGA
Molecule: long non-coding RNA, 222 nt
Filed under: Elaeis guineensis (African oil palm)
Lineage: Eukaryota; Viridiplantae; Streptophyta; Magnoliopsida; Arecales; Arecaceae
Description: long non-coding RNA (EGUI_LNC078895)
Source: RNAcentral